GAUGAACGCUGGCUACAGGCUUAACACAUGCAAGUCGAGGGGAAACGACGGGGAAGCUUGCUUCCCCGGGCGUCGACCGGCGCACGGGUGAGUAACGCGUAUCCAACCUGCCUCUGACUGAGGGAUAACCCGUCGAAAGUCGGCCUAAUACCUCAUGGCAUCGUCUGCGGGCAUCCAACGACGAUUAAAGAUUUCAUCGGUCAGGGAUGGGGAUGCGUCUGAUUAGCUUGUUGGCGGGGUAACGGCCCACCAAGGCUACGAUCAGUAGGGGUUCUGAGAGGAAGGUCCCCCACAUUGGAACUGAGACACGGUCCAAACUCCUACGGGAGGCAGCAGUGAGGAAUAUUGGUCAAUGGGCGAGAGCCUGAACCAGCCAAGUAGCGUGCAGGAAGACGGCCCUAUGGGUUGUAAACUGCUUUUAUGCGGGGAUAAAGUGAGGGACGUGUCCUUCAUUGCAGGUACCGCAUGAAUAAGGACCGGCUAAUUCCGUGCCAGCAGCCGCGGUAAUACGGAAGGUCCGGGCGUUAUCCGGAUUUAUUGGGUUUAAAGGGAGCGUAGGCCGUGGAUUAAGCGUGUUGUGAAAUGCAGGUGCUCAACGUCUGCACUGCAGCGCGAACUGGUCCACUUGAGUGUGCGCAACGCAGGCGGAAUUCGUCGUGUAGCGGUGAAAUGCUUAGAUAUGACGAAGAACUCCGAUUGCGAAGGCAGCUUGCGGGAGCACAACUGACGCUGAAGCUCGAAAGUGCGGGUAUCGAACAGG
RNAcentral lists this ribosomal RNA (760 nucleotides) under uncultured Prevotella sp. Its description in RNAcentral is "bacterial SSU rRNA". It matches the Rfam family "Bacterial small subunit ribosomal RNA", at positions 28 to 776 of the family's 1533-position model. Lineage: Bacteria; Pseudomonadati; Bacteroidota; Bacteroidia; Bacteroidales; Prevotellaceae. The record is from RNAcentral.